GAUGAACGCUGGCGGCGUGCCUAAUACAUGCAAGUCGAGCGAACAGACGAGGAGCUUGCUCCUCUGACGUUAGCGGCGGACGGGUGAGUAACACGUGGAUAACCUACCUAUAAGACUGGGAUAACUUCGGGAAACCGGAGCUAAUACCGGAUAAUAUAUUGAACCGCAUGGGUCAAUAGUGAAAGACGGUUUUGCUGUCACUUAUAGAUGGAUCCGCGCCGCAUUAGCUAGUUGGUAAGGUAACGGCUUACCAAGGCAACGAUGCGUAGCCGACCUGAGAGCGACAUGGGCCAGCCUGGGACAUAGACACGGUACAGACCCCUACCGGACGCAGCAGCGCGGAAUGUUCCGGAGAGGACGAAAGCAUUACAGAGUAUAGUAGAGGGAGUGAUGAAGGUCGUAGUAUCGUAAAACCCUCUUAUCAGUGAAGAACAAAAGUGCAAGUACAUCUGCACUGCUUGACGCUACGUAAUCAGAAAGCCGCGGCUAACUACGUG
Molecule: ribosomal RNA, 497 nt
Filed under: uncultured bacterium
Lineage: Bacteria
Description: partial 16S ribosomal RNA
Rfam family: Bacterial small subunit ribosomal RNA
Source: RNAcentral